UAUUGAGUACAUUUGGGGCUACAUUUUGCUUUAUAUCUCAAUCAAAAGUGCCUCAAUCUCACAUUUGUGUCAAUGAGGUGCAAAGUGGCACUCUCAAU
Thalassophryne amazonica is the source of this 98-nucleotide long non-coding RNA. RefSeq lists it as uncharacterized. Lineage: Eukaryota; Metazoa; Chordata; Actinopteri; Batrachoidiformes; Batrachoididae. The transcript has 3 exons. The record is from RefSeq and is a predicted model, not a curated record.